CGCGGCGCAUUAGCUAGUUGGUGAGGUAACGGCUCACCAAGGCCACGAUGCGUAGCCGACCUGAGAGGGUGAUCGGCCACACUGGGACUGAGACACGGCCCAGACUCCUACGGGAGGCAGCAGUAGGGAAUCUUCCGCAAUGGACGAAAGUCUGACGGAGCAACGCCGCGUGAGUGAUGAAGGUUUUCGGAUCGUAAAACUCUGUUGUUAGGGAAGAACAAGUAUCGGAGUAACUGCCGGUACCUUGACGGUACCUAACCAGAAAGCCACGGCUAACUACGUGCCAGCAGCCGCGGUAAUACGUAGGUGGCAAGCGUUGUCCGGAAUUAUUGGGCGUAAAGCGCGCGCAGGUGGUUCCUUAAGUCUGAUGUGAAAGCCCACGGCUCAACCGUGGAGGGUCAUUGGAAACUGGGGAACUUGAGUGCAGAAGAGGAAAGUGGAAUUCCAAGUGUAGCGGUGAAAUGCGUAGAGAUUUGGAGGAACACCAGUGGCGAAGGCGACUUUCUGGUCUGUAACUGACACUGAGGCGCGAAAGCGUGGGGAGCGAACAGGAUUAGAUACCCUGGUAGUCCACGCCGUAAACGAUGAGUGCUAAGUGUUAGAGGG
RNAcentral lists this ribosomal RNA (606 nucleotides) under Cytobacillus horneckiae. RNAcentral's name for it is "bacterial SSU rRNA". It matches the Rfam family "Bacterial small subunit ribosomal RNA", at positions 232 to 830 of the family's 1533-position model. Lineage: Bacteria; Bacillati; Bacillota; Bacilli; Caryophanales; Bacillaceae. The record is from RNAcentral.